Molecule: long non-coding RNA, 1255 nt
Organism: Mustela erminea (ermine)
Lineage: Eukaryota; Metazoa; Chordata; Mammalia; Carnivora; Mustelidae
Exons: 6
Source: RefSeq, a predicted model, not a curated record
UUCUGGGAAUGGUGUUCUCUCACAGCAUCAUUCUGAAUGAUCACUUUCCAGAGAUACAAGAGGUUAGUCUUUCCAAUGAACUGUAUGGUGACGGACAAGGCCAGUGGUUCCAAGGGCAGGAGACUGGUGCUACCUUUGGGCCUCGGAGAAACAUUAGGAUCAAGAGCACAGCUACUGGAGCCAGACUGCUUGGAUCUGAAGUUAAUUCUGCUACCAGCUAUGUAUAAUAAUUAACAGCAAUCUCCUUAUUCUCAAAAAUACAUGAUCAACCUACUGAUGGGUCAGAUAAAAUUAAAGUUGAAAUGUACAAGUGGUAGCCGUAGCAAGACAAAUUUUGGCAGACUGUUGAAGACGGAAGCCUGGUUGGAAGGGUUUACAAAAGUGGAUGACAACAAGUGGAGACAGUUAGAUGAUUAUUUUGAAGACUUGUGCUACAAGAAAGAGAAGAAAUGAGUUCAUAGGUCAUCCCCCCAUAAUGAACCAAGUUGAUAUUUGAGGAUUGGACUGUGCAGCACUCAGAGUUCUUGAACCUUGAGGUGAAUGCAGGACCUGCCUGGGAUUGGUGUCCUCUCUCUUGGGGAGCAGAUUCUCUCCUGCAUGUUCUGUUCGCUGGAAUCAAAGCAAAAGGAAAGCUCACACAUUGAGAAAAGAUUCCAAUAAAAGGAUAUCUGCUAUUCUUCCAUAUGUCCUAUGAGUUGGAAAUUGAAGAAUGCAACGGAAAGCAAGAUGAACGAGGCAAGACUGUGUAGCCGUCAAUCCUGGAUCCAGGGAGCCAUUACUGACUGAGUUAGAGACAUCCCUGCCACGCAGCACUUAGAUUUAUAACUCUGAGCAAAGGUUUCAACAAAUAAGAUUUCUUCACUCCAAAGUCCAUCUAUGUGUGCUCCCUGAAAUAAGAGAGCAUUUCUGUCUGCUGGUGUCUAAUCCCAGGAGCCUUGGCAGCAGAGGCAGGAGAGUUCCAAAAGGUCUUCUUAUAGCUCUGGAGAUAAUGACCAGCUCAAACAAGCUGGCGCCGCACGGGGAUACCCAUGGACCUUAUUUAUCUCUCUCUCUCCCAGUCCCCCUGCCCCCCUCAGGCUGACAUAGUGUCUGUACUGACACAGGCAGUCCAGAAAAAAGAAACUGUGUCUUUUAUAACUUUUACUUAAGUGGGAUAAAUGGAAUGAUCAUAACUGAAAGAUUUGUUGAAAACAUACUUCCUAUCCAGAAAAUCCAUUGUAAUGUUGCAAUUAAAAAGUUCUACUCAGAGCAAGAG